GAUGAACGCUGGCGGCGUGCUUAACACAUGCAAGUCGAACGAAGCACUUUAUUACGAUUUCUUCGGAUUGAAGUUGUUUAUGACUGAGUGGCGGACGGGUGAGUAACGCGUGGGUAACCUGCCUUGUACUGGGGGAUAGCAGCUGGAAACGGCUGGUAAUACCGCAUAAGCGCACAAUGUUGCAUGACAUAGUGUGAAAAACUCCGGUGGUAUAAGAUGGACCCGCGUCUGAUUAGCUAGUUGGUGAGAUAACAGCCCACCAAGGCGACGAUCAGUAGCCGACCUGAGAGGGUGACCGGCCACAUUGGGACUGAGACACGGCCCAGACUCCUACGGGAGGCAGCAGUGGGGAAUAUUGCACAAUGGAGGAAACUCUGAUGCAGCGACGCCGCGUGAGUGAAGAAGUAAUUCGUUAUGUAAAGCUCUAUCAGCAGGGAAGAUAGUGACGGUACCUGACUAAG
RNAcentral lists this ribosomal RNA (461 nucleotides) under uncultured bacterium. RNAcentral describes it as "bacterial SSU rRNA". It matches the Rfam family "Bacterial small subunit ribosomal RNA", at positions 28 to 487 of the family's 1533-position model. The record is from RNAcentral.